RNAcentral lists this ribosomal RNA (683 nucleotides) under uncultured fungus. Its description in RNAcentral is "eukaryotic LSU rRNA". The stretch from base 216 to 369 matches the Rfam family "5.8S ribosomal RNA". The record is from RNAcentral. Lineage: Eukaryota; Fungi.
CUUGGUCAUUUAGAGGAAGUAAAAGUCGUAACAAGGUUUCCGUAGGUGAACCUGCGGAAGGAUCAUUCAUAAUAAGUGUUUUAUGGCACUUUUUAAAUCCAUAUCCACCUUGUGUGCAAUGUCAGUCGAUCUUCUUCAUGGAGAUCGACCAAACAUCAACCUUUAUCUUUUAACUCUUUGUCUGAAAAAUAUUAUGAAUAAACAAUUCAAAAUACAACUUUCAACAACGGAUCUCUUGGCUCUCGCAUCGAUGAAGAACGCAGCGAAAUGCGAUACGUAAUGUGAAUUGCAGAAUUCAGUGAAUCAUCGAAUCUUUGAACGCAUAUUGCGCUCUUUGGUAUUCCGAAGAGCUUGCUUGUUUGAGUAUCAGUAAACACCUCAAAGCUUUUGGAUUUUUUAAUCGAAAAGCUUUGGACUUGAGCAAUCCCAACACCAAUCUUUUUGAGAUCGGUGGCGGGUUGCUUGAAAUGCAGGUGCAGCUGGACAUUCUCCUGAGCUAAAAGCAUAUUCAUUUAGUCCCGUCAAACGGAUUAUUACUUUUGCUGCAGCUAACAUAAAGGGAGUUUGACCGUAUUGGCUGACUGAUGCAGGAUUUCACAAGGGUCGGCAACGAUUCUUGUUAAACUCGAUCUCAAAUCAAGUAAGACUACCCGCUGAACUUAAGCAUAUCAAUAAGCGGAGGA